RNAcentral lists this ribosomal RNA (501 nucleotides) under uncultured bacterium. RNAcentral's name for it is "bacterial SSU rRNA". It matches the Rfam family "Bacterial small subunit ribosomal RNA", at positions 36 to 518 of the family's 1533-position model. The record is from RNAcentral.
CUGGCGGCGUGCUUAACACAUGCAAGUCGAACGCGAAAGGGACUUCGGUCCUGAGUAAAGUGGCGCACGGGUGAGUAACGCGUAGAUAACCUGUCUUCAUGUCUGGAAUAAUACGCCAAAGGGGUACUAAUACCGGAUAUUCUUGCUUUUCAUAAGUUAUGCAAGCAAAGGUGGCCUCUGCAUAUGCUACUGCAUGAAGAGGGGUCUGCGUACCAUUAGCUAGUAGGUGGGGUAAUGGCCUACCUAGGCGACGAUGGUUAGCGGGUCUGAGAGGAUGAUCCGCCACACUGGCACUGGAACACGGGCCAGACUCCUACGGGAGGCAGCAGUGAGGAAUAUUGCGCAAUGGGGGAAACCCUGACGCAGCGACGCCGCGUGAGUGAGGAAGGCCUUCGGGUCGUAAAGCUCUGUCAAGAGGAAAGAAGUGUACAAUGGCUAAUACCUGUUGUAUUUGACGGUACCUCUAAAGGAAGCACCGGCUAACUCCGUGCCAGCCGCCGC